GAUGAACGCUAGCGGCAGGCUUAACACAUGCAAGUCGAGGGGCAGCAUGAGGGUUAGCAAUAACCCUUGAUGGCGACCGGCGCACGGGUGCGUAACACGUAUCCAAUCUGCCCGUUACUCGGGGAUAGCCUUCUGAAAGGAAGAUUAAUACCCGAUGGCAUGUAUUUCCGGCAUCGGAGAUACAUUAAAGAUUUAUCGGUAACGGAUGAGGAUGCGUACGAUUAGCUUGUUGGCGGGGUAACGGCCCACCAAGGCAGCGAUCGUUAGGGGUUCUGAGAGGAAGGUCCCCCACACUGGAACUGAGACACGGUCCAG
Molecule: ribosomal RNA, 315 nt
Filed under: uncultured bacterium
Lineage: Bacteria
Description: bacterial SSU rRNA
Rfam family: Bacterial small subunit ribosomal RNA
Source: RNAcentral